UGGCUAUGAUUACAAAAUAUCCGCGCUUCUGAGAUUUAUUCUGUGAAGUAAUCGGAAAACAAUGGUUGAAUUUCUUAAUAUGAGCCU
This is a non-coding RNA of Brassica rapa (field mustard), 87 nucleotides long. NCBI's taxonomy places the organism in Eukaryota, Viridiplantae, Streptophyta, Magnoliopsida, Brassicales, Brassicaceae. The record is from Rfam.